RNAcentral lists this transfer RNA (70 nucleotides) under Tettigarcta crinita (hairy cicada). RNAcentral's name for it is "tRNA-Lys". Lineage: Eukaryota; Metazoa; Arthropoda; Insecta; Hemiptera; Tettigarctidae. The record is from RNAcentral.
CAUUAAGUGACUGAAAGUAAGUAAUGGUCUCUUAAACCAAUAUAUAGUAAAUAACAAGUACUCUUAAUGA